Molecule: ribosomal RNA, 497 nt
Filed under: uncultured bacterium
Lineage: Bacteria
Description: partial 16S ribosomal RNA
Rfam family: Bacterial small subunit ribosomal RNA
Source: RNAcentral
GACGAACGCUGGCGGCGUGCCUAAUACAUGCAAGUUGAGCGCUGAAGGUUGGUACUUGUACCAACUGGAUGAGCAGCGAACGGGUGAGUAACGCGUGGGGAAUCUGCCUUUGAGCGGGGGACAACAUUUGGAAACGAAUGCUAAUACCGCAUAAAAACUUUAAACACAAGUUUUAAGUUUGAAAGAUGCAAUUGCAUCACUCAAAGAUGAUCCCGCGUUGUAUUAGCUAGUUGGUGAGGUAAAGGCUCACCAAGGCGAUGAUACAUAGCCGACCUGAGAGGGUGAGCGGCCACAUUGGGACUGAGACACGGCCCAAACUCCUACGGGAGGCAGCAGUAGGGAAUCUUCGGCAAUGGACGAAAGUCUGACCGAGCAACGCCGCGUGAGUGAAGAAGGUUUUCGGAUCGUAAAACUCUGUUGGUAGAGAAGAACGUGGGUGAGAGUGGAAAGCUCAUCAAGUGACGGUAACUACCCAGAAAGGGACGGCUAACUACGUG